RNAcentral lists this ribosomal RNA (300 nucleotides) under uncultured Pyrobaculum sp. Its description in RNAcentral is "bacterial SSU rRNA". The stretch from base 51 to 300 matches the Rfam family "Bacterial small subunit ribosomal RNA", at positions 547 to 795 of the family's 1533-position model. Lineage: Archaea; Thermoproteati; Thermoproteota; Thermoprotei; Thermoproteales; Thermoproteaceae. The record is from RNAcentral.
GUCACGCCGGGGUGGGGGAGGGGGUGAUGCGGUGGGUGCCAGCGUGGUUUGGAAGUACUGGGCGUAAAGGGCUCGUAGGCGGCCAACUAAGUCAGACGUGGAAUCCCUCGGCGUAACCGGGGAAGUGCGUCGGAUACUGGAUGGCUUGAGUGUGGGAGAGGGAUGCGGAAUUCCAGGUGUAGCGGUGAAAGGCGUAGAUAUCUGGAGGAACACCGGUGGCGAAGGCGGCAUCCUGGACCACGACUGACGCUGAGUGAGCGAAAGCCAGGGGAGCAAACGGGAUUAGAUACCCUGGUAGUC